RNAcentral lists this ribosomal RNA (1975 nucleotides) under human gut metagenome. RNAcentral describes it as "bacterial LSU rRNA". It matches the Rfam family "Bacterial large subunit ribosomal RNA", at positions 1 to 1990 of the family's 2925-position model. The record is from RNAcentral.
GUAAAUAAUAAAGGGCGUAUGGUGGAUGCCUAGGCUCUCAGAGGCGAUGAAGGACGUGAUAAGCUGCGAAAAGCUCCGUUUAGGUGCAAAUAACCUUUGAUGCGGAGAUCUCCGAAUGGGAUAACCCAAUAUGUUGAAGACAUAUUAUACCGUAAGGUAGGCAAACGCAGGGAACUGAAACAUCUAAGUACCUGCAGGAGAAGAAAACAAACGUGAUUCCCCCAGUAGCGGCGAGCGACCGGGGAUAAGCCCAAACCGUUAUUGUUUCGGCAGUAGCGGGGUAGUAGGACUGCGACAUUGAUGAAAUAAAUGAAAUGGAACACCUUGGAAAAUGUGAUCACAGAGGGUGAUAAUCCCGUACAUGUAAGUUUAUGAAUCAUAGCAGACUCCUGAGUAAGUCGGGACACGUGUAAUCCUGACCGAAUCCGCCGGGACCAUCCGGCAAGGCUAAAUACUCCUGAGAGACCGAUAGUGAACCAGUACCGUGAGGGAAAGGUGAAAAGCACUUCGAACAGAAGAGUGAAAUAGUCCCUGAACCCAUACGCCUACAAGCAGUCGGAGCCGCUUCGUGCGGUGACGGCGUGCCUUUUGCAUAAUGAGCCUACGAGUUACUCAUCACCAGCGAGGUUAAGUACUUCAGGUACGUAAGCCGAAGCGAAAGCGAGUCUGAAUAGGGCGUCAAGUUGGUGGUGGUAGACGCGAAACCUUAGUGAUCUACCCAUGGGCAGGGUGAAGGUUUGGUAACACAAACUGGAGGCCCGAACCGGUAAACGUUGAAAAGUUUUCGGAUGACCUGUGGGUAGGGGUGAAAGGCCAAUCAAACUGGGAAAUAGCUCGUACUCUCCGAAAUGCAUUUAGGUGCAGCCUCUGUUGUUUUGUUCUAGAGGUAGAGCUACUGAUUGGAUGCGAGGGCUUCACCGCCUAUCAAAUCCGGCCAAACUCCGAAUGCUAGAACAUAAAGACAGGGAGUGAGCCAGCGGGUGCUAAGGUCCGUUGACGAAAGAGGGAGAACUCAGACCAUCAGCUAAGGUCCCCAAUUAUAUGCUAAGUUGGAAUAAAAACGGGGUGGGACUGCUUAGACAGCUAGGAUGUUGGCUUGGAAGCAGCCAUUCAUUUAAAGAGUGCGUAACAGCUCACUAGUCGAGCGGUCCUGCAUGGAUAAUACGCGGGCAUAAGCAUAUAACCGAAGCUAUGGGAUUGUAGAUGAUACAAUCGGUAGGAGAGCAUUCCAUUCAGCAUAGAAGCAGUAUCGUGAGGUAUUGUGGAGCGGAUGGAAAAGCAAAUGUAGGCAUAAGUAACGAUAAUGCGGGUGAGAACCCCGCACGCCGAAAGAUCAAGGAUUCCCCGGCAAUGUCAAUCAUCCGGGGGUAAGUCGGAUCCUAAGGGUAAGCCGAGUGGCGAUCCCGAUGGUAAACAGGUUAAUAUUCCUGUACUGAUCAUAACUGCGAUGCAGCGACGCAGAGGUGACACUGCUGCGUACUGACGGAAUAGUACGUUGAAACCCGUAUUCUUUGAUACCGGUAGUGAAGCACGCCGGUAGAGAUGAAAGGUGAUAGUACCGCAAUGCUUCGGUUGCGCGGAUAAUGCAGGUAAGCUGACUGCCAAGAAAACCUGCUAAGCUUCAGGUAAUGAUCAUCCGUACUGUAAACGGACACACGUGAUCAGGUAGAAAAUACUAAGGCGCUCGAGAGAUUCAUGGUUAAGGAACUAGGCAAAAUGGUCCUGUAACUUCGGGAUAAAGGACGCUCUUGUGAAAGAGCCGCAGAUAAUAGGCCCAGGCGACUGUUUACCAAAAACACAUGGCUAUGCUAAUUCGCAAGAAGAUGUAUAUGGCCUGACACCUGCCCGGUGCCGGAAGGUUAAGAGGAGAGCUCAGAGGUAACUCGAAGGUUUGAAUUGAAGCCCCGGUAAACGGCGGCCGUAACUAUAACGGUCCUAAGGUAGCGAAAUUCCUUGUCGGGUAAGUUCCGACCUG